AUGAGUCGCAUGAUCUCUGAGGUGGAUACAGAUUCAGAAUGCACCUCGUCGAGGAACAUGAGGAAGUAUCAGAGGACUCAAACUCACUCGAGAUUGUUCAGGCUUCUAAACGACGACUCGAUCCUUCUAGAAGAUGCAGAGAAAACCAACGAAUCUUCCUCCACUGAAGAGUACCUUAGCCUACCUCUGAAGAGCAACGCCUUCAAUUACGAUGAGAAUUAUUGUUCCAAUUACUCUAGCGGCGUGACAUCUCCAGAAUAUUCACCCAUCUGCGAACAAUCGUGGAAAAGACUUCACGACGCGGACAACUCAAGGUCACCGGACCAAAAUGGCGACGUGUUUCGUCAAGGUCGACAAGAUCGAAUUUCCUGCAAGGAAGACCCAUACUAUCAAGCUUGGAAAACUCCCAAACCUUCGGCACCGUCCUUGGAUCACGACGUGGUGCCAUCUUUGGCUUUCAAGGUCCUGGAAAGUAGAAGGCCGUUAUGGUCGUACAAGGUGAACGUGCUUUGUCCACGGAUUAAAAGUACAAAAAGCGUGCCACAGACGUUGAGAACGAACAAACAGACCAAUUCGAUGGUGUCAUCCUGUCCAAAUUCCUCGCCCUUCCAAGCUAACCUAAAAAGUGACCAUUGCUGAUGGCCCGGGGCAGAAUGAGGCCGCGUUUGGCCGCGAGCAACCGGUCCACGGACGAGCCUCGCGCAACUUUUCACUAGAUUCGCAAGACUGGGCUGACUAUGCCCGGGGGGCUACAGGCUACGUGUCUGUCUAAAUUUUUAGGUCCUGAUGCAACGGAUUACUGAGCAAGGACGAGUGCCUCCAUCAGAAACAUGGCAUUGCUAGUGUGUUUUCUUUUCUUUUUUCAUUUUUUAUUUUGUUUAUGACGACUCGUCGCGAUUCGUUUUAACACGACAACCAUCGAUACCACAGGACUGCUGCUGAGAUCUUCCCAAGUCACCUCAUUGUAUUUGUUGCCCCGUAUAGGUUUCGUCUUGUCCCUUCCGCCAUUCUCUUUAUUUUAUUUCUUCUUCCCUCUUAAUCCCACGGUGUGCGCAUAUUGUUAGAAGACGAAGAUCUUUUGAGAGAUCGAUCGGUCGUUCGAACGAUCGACGACUAACGACAUUCACUGAACCGAAUCACGUGACUGGUUUUUUCGAUUUCAAAAUUGAAAAUAAUCGUCACCUGGUCGCGGUGAUUCCCUGUUUCGCCAUCUUCGUUUGAGAUAAAAAGGAAUCAACGCGAAGUGUAUUCGUGUCGAAUACCAUCACGUUACCUCGAUCAAUCAUUGUGCUAUAUUUAUGUAAGUUGUGUAAAAUAAAUUAUUUGUAAAGUUCACUUUAAA
Molecule: RNA transcript, 1342 nt
Organism: Bombus pascuorum
Lineage: Eukaryota; Metazoa; Arthropoda; Insecta; Hymenoptera; Apidae
Exons: 2
Source: RefSeq, a predicted model, not a curated record